ACGAACGCUUGCGGCGUGCUUAACACAUUCAAGUCGAACGGAAAGGCCCCUUUGGGGGUACUCGGGUGGGUAACGGGUGAGUAACACGUGAUUAACCUGCCCUUGACUUCGGGAUAACUUCAGGAAACUGGGUCUAAUACCGGAGAGGAAUCCUUACUGCAUGGUGGGGGUUGGACAGCUUCGUCGGUUUUGGAUGGACUCGCGGCUCAUCAGCUUGUUGGUGGGGUAGUGGCUUACCAAGGCUUUGACGGGUAGCCGGCCUGAGAGGGCGACCGGCAACAGUGGGACUGGGACACGGACCAGACUCCUACGGGAGGGAGCAGUGGGGAAUAUUGCACAAUGGGCGGAAGCCUGAUGCAGAACCGCCGCGGGCGGGAUGACGGCCUUGGGGUUGUAAUCCGAUUUCAGCAGGGGCGAAGAUUGUGGUGACGGUACCUGAAGAAGAAGCACCGGCUAACUACGUG
This 464-nucleotide ribosomal RNA is filed under the name uncultured bacterium. RNAcentral's name for it is "partial 16S ribosomal RNA". It matches the Rfam family "Bacterial small subunit ribosomal RNA", at positions 29 to 507 of the family's 1533-position model. The record is from RNAcentral.